GAUGAACGCUGGCGGCGUGCCUAAUACAUGCAAGUCGAGCGAACAGACGAGGAGCUUGCUCCUCUGACGUUAGCGGCGGACGGGUGAGUAACACGUGGAUAACCUACCUAUAAGACUGGGAUAACUUCGGGAAACCGGAGCUAAUACCGGAUAAUAUAUUGAACCGCAUGGUUCAAUAGUGAAAGACGGUUUUUUGUUCACUUAUAGAUGGAUCCGCCCCGCAUUAGUUAGUUGUUAAGGUAACGGCUUACCAAGGCAACGAUGCGUAGCCGACCUGAGAGGGUGAUCGGCCACACUGGAACUGAGACACGGUCCAGACUCCUACGGGAGGAAGCAGUAGGGAAUCUUCCGCAAUGGGCGAAAGCCUGACGGAGCAACGCCGCGUGAGUGAUGAAGGUCUUCGGAUCGUAAAACUCUGUUAGUAGGAAAGAACAAAUGUGUAAGUAACUAUGCACGUAUUGACGGUACCUAAUCAGAAAGCCACGGCUAACUACGUG
RNAcentral lists this ribosomal RNA (497 nucleotides) under uncultured bacterium. Its description in RNAcentral is "partial 16S ribosomal RNA". It matches the Rfam family "Bacterial small subunit ribosomal RNA", at positions 28 to 507 of the family's 1533-position model. The record is from RNAcentral.